CCUAAUUUUUAACAAAAGCAACGACAAAAUCAACUCAAAACUACUAUUUUCUCUAAUUUUUAAAUACUACUCAGCCUCCACCCAAACACAAACUCUACACACCCACCACUAGUCACCAUCGUCACCACAGCCGAACCUACACAGUUCUUCCCACCUCCUCAUAAAUCAAUUCUUUAAAAAUCAGCCUUGGCGGAAUUGCCGUCACUCUUUGUCUCGAAUCCCACACAACUACUGCAAUAUGUUGUUCUUGAAUCUAGUAUCGUGAUUUACAUCGCGAUCGAAAGAACUAGUGUUGGCAUCGUGGUGAUGAAAGGGGGAGCGCGAGGAGAGAGAGGAUAGUAAGAGGAGAGUGGAGAGAAAAUCGACCUUGAUGAAAACGAAAGAAAAAUGGCAAGAGAGGAGAUGAAGAUGCGCAAGAUGGAACAAGUCUCAUAUAUGUGCAAAGCUGUUAGUUGAAU
This 458-nucleotide long non-coding RNA is filed under the name Daucus carota (carrot). RNAcentral's name for it is "long non-coding RNA (DCAR_LNC005756)". The record is from RNAcentral. Lineage: Eukaryota; Viridiplantae; Streptophyta; Magnoliopsida; Apiales; Apiaceae.